UUUCCGUAGGUGAACCUGCGGAAGGAUCAUUGUCGAAACCUGCCCAGCAGAACGACCCGCGAACUUGUAUAAACCGCCGGUGGCGGGGGGCGUUCUCGCCCCGUGCCCCCGAACGGCGGGGAGACACUCGUGCCUUCUUGCCGAACAACGAACCCCGGCGCGGUCUGCCCCAAGGAACUUCAACUAAGGAGUGCCUCCGGUCGCCUCGGAAACGGCGUGCGUGCCGGGUGCGAAUCUUGUGCAAAACAAUAACGACUCUCGGCAACGGAUAUCUCGGCUCUC
RNAcentral lists this unclassified non-coding RNA (282 nucleotides) under plant metagenome. Its description in RNAcentral is "partial contains small subunit ribosomal RNA, internal transcribed spacer 1, and 5.8S ribosomal RNA". The record is from RNAcentral.